GCAGUGGUGUUUCAGUGGUAGAAUUCUCACCUUCUAUGUGGGAAACCCGAGUUCUAUUCCUGGCCAAUGCA
This 71-nucleotide transfer RNA is filed under the name Loxodonta africana (African savanna elephant). It matches the Rfam family "tRNA". Rfam says of the family: Transfer RNA (tRNA) molecules are approximately 80 nucleotides in length. Their secondary structure includes four short double-helical elements and three loops (D, anti-codon, and T loops). Lineage: Eukaryota; Metazoa; Chordata; Mammalia; Proboscidea; Elephantidae. The record is from Rfam by way of RNAcentral.